Molecule: small nuclear RNA, 130 nt
Organism: Bos indicus x Bos taurus (hybrid cattle)
Lineage: Eukaryota; Metazoa; Chordata; Mammalia; Artiodactyla; Bovidae
Gene: U4
Rfam family: U4 spliceosomal RNA
About the family: U4 small nuclear RNA (U4 snRNA) is a component of the major U2-dependent spliceosome. The structure of U4 snRNA from yeast and human has been reported.
Source: Ensembl
GGCUUUGCACAGUGGUGGUAUCAUAGCCAACGAGCUUUAUCCAAGGUGUGAUUAUUGCUACUUGAAAACCUGGUGCCUCCGCAUCCUCAUUGUUACAAAAAUAACGAUCAUAAUACUCUCCUUCACAAGG